RNAcentral lists this long non-coding RNA (784 nucleotides) under Rhinopithecus bieti (black snub-nosed monkey). RNAcentral describes it as "lncRNA (ENSRBIG00000046288.1)". The record is from RNAcentral. Lineage: Eukaryota; Metazoa; Chordata; Mammalia; Primates; Cercopithecidae.
UUGUAGUCCGCUCGCUCAUCUCAGUUUCCUCUCCUCUGCAGAGUCCGGUCUUUUCCUUUUCACCGGAGCCUGGGGCUGGAGAUGAGGCCCGAGGCGGGGCUCCCCGACUUCCAAAACGCAGACGCUGCCUUCUCGGGGCCCCAGGGGUGGGGUGCCGGGGAGCAGCCCCACCCCCCAGUGCCCGCUCCACACCCCUGCCCGGCCCCCCAGGCUCCCCGCGCUCCUCUGGCGGAACCCCCUUGCACUCGCCUCUGCACACGCCCCGGGCCAGUCCCACUGGGACCCCGGGGACAACACCACCCCCCAGCCCCGGCGGUGGCGUCGGGGGAGCCGCCUGGAGGAGUCGUCUCAACUCCAUCCGCAACAGCUUCCUGGGCUCCCCUCGCUUUCACCGGCGCAAGAUGCAGGGCUGGCAAAACGUUCCUGGUUCGGGAACUUCAUCUCCUUGGACAAAGAAGAACAAAUAUUCCUCGUGCUAAAGGACAAACCUCUCAGCAGCAUCAAAGCAGACAUCGUCCAUGCCUUUCUGUCGGUGAGGGGCCUGGGUCCCCGUCGAUCCUGACCACCGCAGAACUACAAGUCCCAGCAGGCCCUGGGGCUAACCACCUUAGCAUAGGCCUGGCUUCCUCCUGGGGCUCCUGGGAUUUGUAGUUUUAUGGCCAGAGUUGGGUAGAAGUCAGUAGGCAGGAAAAAUUUAUCAUGGCCAGAGGCCUGGAACUGGGGAGAUAGGAUCCUGAAUUGCACUGUCCCCAAGGAUUGUUGAGUUCCCAUUCCCCUACUGCGA